UUUAUGGAGAGUUUGAUCCUGGCUCAGGACGAACGCUGGCGGCGUGCUUAACACAUGCAAGUCGAACGGGAUGAUUUAGAAGCUUGCUUUUAGAGAAUCUAGUGGCAAACGGGUGAGUAACACGUAGACAACCUGCCGACAGGAUGGGGACAACAUUCCGAAAGGAAUGCUAAUACCGAAUGAAGUCAGAGGAGGGCAUCCUCCUCUGAUGAAAGAUGGCCUCUGAAUAUGCUAUCACCUGUUGAUGGGUCUGCGUCUGAUUAGCUAGUUGGUGAGGUAACGGC
RNAcentral lists this ribosomal RNA (284 nucleotides) under Selenomonas sp. RNAcentral's name for it is "partial 16S ribosomal RNA". It matches the Rfam family "Bacterial small subunit ribosomal RNA", at positions 1 to 264 of the family's 1533-position model. Lineage: Bacteria; Bacillati; Bacillota; Negativicutes; Selenomonadales; Selenomonadaceae. The record is from RNAcentral.